Molecule: ribosomal RNA, 629 nt
Filed under: uncultured bacterium
Lineage: Bacteria
Description: bacterial SSU rRNA
Rfam family: Bacterial small subunit ribosomal RNA
Source: RNAcentral
AAUCAACGCUGGCGGCGCGCUUAACACAUGCAAGUCGAACGAGAAAGUGGAGCAAUCCAUGAGUACAGUGGCGCACUGGUGAGUAACACGUGGGUAAUUUACCUCUUUGUGGGGAAUAACCCUGGGAAACCGGGGAUAAUACCGCAUACGUCCGAGAGGAGAAAGCCGAAAGGCGCAGAGAGAGAAGCCCGCGCCCGAUUAGCUAGUUGGUGAGGUAAAAGCCCACCAAGGCGACGAUCGGUAGCCGGCCUGAGAGGGCACACGGCCACACUGGCACUGAAACACGGGCCAGACUCCUACGGGAGGCAGCAGUGGGGAAUCUUGCACAAUGGGGGAAACCCUGAUGCAGCGACGCCGCGUGAACGAUGAAGCCCUUCGGGGUGUAAAGUUCUUUCGACAGGAACGAUAAUGACGGUACCUGAAGAAGAAGCUGCGGCUAACUACGUGCCAGCAGCCGCGGUAAUACGUAGGCAGCAAGCGUUGUUCGGAAUUACUGGGCGUAAAGAGUGCGUAGGUGGUUGGCUAAGUUUGGUGUGAAAUCUCCCGGCUCAACUGGGAGGGUGCGCCGAAAACUGGCUAGCUAGAGUGUGGGAGAGGGACGUGGAAUUCCUGGUGUAGCGGUGAAAUGC